AGCUACACAAUAUUUGGGUUUCCCACGAUAUUUGGGUUUCCCACAAUAUUUGGGCUCCCCACAACCAUUGUUUUCCCAAAACUAUGUGGGUUUCCCGCAAUAUUUGGGUUUCCCACAUUAUUUGUGUUCCCCACAACCUUUGUUUUCCCAAAAAUAUUUGGGUUCCCCACAACUACCUCAUUCUUGAGUCACAGAGCCAGGGAUAGACCACAACAAGUGGAUGAGUCCACGCAAUAUUUGGGUUCCUCUACCAUUAUCUCUAACCCAAACCAUAAAACCAAUAAAUGGCCCCAACAUGUAGGUGAAGCUACACAAUAUUUGGGUUUCCCACAAUAUUUGGGUUCCCCACAACCUUUGUUUUCCCAAAAAUAUUUGGGUUUCCCACAAUAUUUGGGUUCCCCACAACCUUUUUUUUCCCCAAAACUAUUUGGGUUUCCCACAAUAUUUGGGUUUCCCACAGUAUUUGGGCUCCCCACAACCUUUGUUUUCCCAAAACUAUUUGGGUUUCCCAUAAUAGUUGGGUUUCCCACAAUAGUUGGGUUUCUGACAACCUUUGUUUUCCCAAAAAUAUUUGGGUUCCCCACAACUACCUCAUGCCUGAGGCACAAAACCAAGGAUGGACCACAACAAGUGGAUGAAUCCAUGCAAGGUUUGGGUUCCUCUACCAUUAUCUCUAACCCAAACCAUAAAACCAGGGAAUGACCUCAACAUGUAGGUGAAGCUACACAAUAUUUGGGUUUCCCACAGUAUUUGGGUUCCUCACAACCUUUGUUUUCCCAAAACUAUUUGGGUUUCCCACAAUAUUUGGGUUUCCCACAAUAUUUGGGUUUCCCACAAUAUCUGGGUUCCCCACAACCUUUGUUUUCCCCAAAAAUAUUUGGGCUCCCCACAACCUUUGUUUUCCCCAAAAUAUUUGGCUUCCCCACAACUACCUCCUAGCCGGGACCGGACCACGCCACGGGGUGCAAGGUGGGUGGUGUCCCCCCAGCCAGCCCCACCUGGUGCUCUUCUUCUC
Molecule: long non-coding RNA, 1015 nt
Filed under: Anas platyrhynchos platyrhynchos (common mallard)
Lineage: Eukaryota; Metazoa; Chordata; Aves; Anseriformes; Anatidae
Description: lncRNA (ENSAPLG00000023908.1)
Source: RNAcentral